Long non-coding RNA from Astatotilapia calliptera (eastern happy), 2343 nucleotides. NCBI's taxonomy places the organism in Eukaryota, Metazoa, Chordata, Actinopteri, Cichliformes, Cichlidae. The record is from Ensembl.
UGUUAGUUGUAGCAGUAUUAAUGUCCAAUAGGGGAGGCAAUUUCACUUUCAAAGCAAUGCUUGUUAUUAAAGUGUCUGCCCACUUCUUCUUCCAUGGUCCAGAAUGGCCCGUGGGAAAACUGCAUGACAUUAAAACAUUGUUUUUUAGCUCUAUGGUUAUGAAAACCCACAGAAACAUAACUUUGAUUAUUUUGAUUGGGUGUUUUUUGUUGUUGUUGUUGUUGUUGUUGUUUGUUUUAAAUCAGAUAGUUUAAUCUGUCCAUCUAACUGUCACUGCUACAAAAAGAGACACAUCUGUACAGUCCAGUAAAUCCUCUCAAUUCAAUUAGGAUUUCUCAGUUCUCUUCCAUUUUCUUUUACAUCAUUAAUUUCAUACAGCACAUUUUGUAUCUUUACAAUGCCUCAUCACAUGCCUACAUCCUGGGGAGACCUGGUAACCUCCAGUCCUCCAUCCUACCUACCCACACAAGCGCAUACACACCUCCUCGACCUCACACUUCCUCUUCAAGCCUCUUUCAGUUCCACUCACUUACACCCCCCCCCCCCCCCCCCCACCUCUUUCUUUAUAAAAGCGCCAGUGCUUGCUAAUCUGUCAAUCAGAUGUUGUCCUGUUGUGGCGAUGAUGGGGGUCCGUGACGGUGUUCCACACACCUCCUGCAGCUCGCAGCUCGGCGAGUAGCUCGAUGAUUAACCAGGCAGGUACUGAGUCAAACUGCUGACAGCAUAAACACACUGACAGCUGAUUUGAAAGACAAUGCUCCCACUCCCUCCACUUAACUUGUCAUGGCAGUCAAAGCACCUUCUCACUAAACUUGUGGCAUAUUAGGCAAAGAUGGAGGGAAACACUGAUUUAUAGCAUCACACUCAUAAAUGGUCACACAUAAACAAAACAAAAAAAGAAAUACUUAUAAGCAUUUCCAAAUAUUCAUAAGUGCUUAUGUUUGCACAAAAAAUCUGAUCAAUUAUUGAAAUUAUAAAGAACAACUAGUGAAUAGUUGAUAACUGUAAAAAGAAAAAUGCAGCUACCAGGGAAAGAUUUUCACAUUUCCUAUUUUAACUGUAUCUUCAAAAGUGAAGGCCAGAAACAGCAGCACAGCAUUUCCUUGUCUCUCCUGGAUUAAUAGUCCAACACUUCCCAAUUAUUAACCAUGUCUGUUUUGUACCAUUCAUAUUCAAAGCUAUUUGCCUCCCUACACUUCCUGUGCUUUGUAUUCUGAGUCUUUACAGGAGGGAAUGGACGAUCCAGGCAGAUCUGUCACUCAAACCGCAGCCCCCGACCACCAGUCGCUGCCCAACAAACUGUCGUCCAUAUACCUCCAUCGGCUCCGGUACCUCCUCGGCUCAAUGAGUAACUAACCUGCAGGGCACAAUGAGAGAGGCGAUCCAUCACUUCUGUCCCUAGCAGAGUGGGGGUCAGUGGGGGUGGAGGCCAUAAGGCUGGCUCUGGCUCUGGCUGGCUGAUGGAGGGUUGUGGGGAACAGGAUGGGCCUGGUUAAACUUUAACCAGCUCUCAUCCUACACGCUGAAGACUGCAUUAAGACACCAUUCUCUCCUGUGGGAGACUCUGAUGUUUCGUCAGCCUGGGAUCCAUGACCCCCCGCCCACUGGGACCCCAUCUCGCCCACUCAUGGCCUGGCGCCCACCUGCUUCCAUAUGGAUCACCAAACUUUUGGCCAAAGUGUGGGAAGUAAAGAAGAAACAUGGCUCUGGGGUCCCGUCUUGAUGUAUAUAGAGCAAUUGGCUAUAUUAACCUAGCCCUCUGCACGCGCCAUACAGCCCUCUGAUAUACUAACCAUGACUUCAUAUUCAAAACAGUGUUGCCUCCUUGGCUGUGGCACUGUCACAACCAGUGUCAACACAUUUUCACAGUGGAUCAAUAGCAGUAGUCAGGGGUUAGUCCUGCGGACACCGUGGUUACACUAUGAAAAAUGAUGGGUGGCCUUUUGAUAGUCAUUUAAUACACAGUUGCACACUUUGAUGGAGUUUGGCAAAAGCUUCUCCCUGGCGAGUUAACAAUGCGUACUGAAAAUCAUAUUUCCAUGGCGGCCCAUUCAAUCUUAUCCCCCUGUUCCAGGAAAAAUUGCAGUGACAAAUGGGAUGUGAGCGCACUCUGGGUGGCUGUGGGUCACAUCAGGUGCAGAGCAGGUUGGAGGUGUUAUAACCCAAUGUGUUCCUGUUCACUGGUCCAAUCAUCUUCAUUGAUUGAGCCAAUGAUUGAAAGGGUCCUACCCUUAUUUUAUGAACAGGAGGAGUUGAAGGUUGAAGUGGAUAAAGCAUGAAGGAAAAUGGUGACUACAGAAUACAGGAGUAUAAUCUCCUCACUUACUGUUUUAGGCGUUUGCC